RNAcentral lists this ribosomal RNA (456 nucleotides) under uncultured bacterium. RNAcentral's name for it is "bacterial SSU rRNA". It matches the Rfam family "Bacterial small subunit ribosomal RNA", at positions 340 to 786 of the family's 1533-position model. The record is from RNAcentral.
UACGGAAGGCAGCAGUGGGGAAUAUUGCACAAUGGGCGCAAGCCUGAUGCAGCCAUGCCGCGUGUAUGAAAAAGGCCUUCGGGUUGUAAAGUACUUUCAGUCGUGAGGAAGGUGUUAAGGUUAAUAACCUUAGCAAUUGACGUUAGCGACAGAAGAAGCACCGGCUAACUCCGUGCCAGCAGCCGCGGUAAUACGGAGGGUGCGAGCGUUAAUCGGAAUUACUGGGCGUAAAGGGCACGCAGGCGGUUAAUUAAGUUGGAUGUGAAAUCCCCGGGCUUAACCUGGGAAUGGCAUUCAAGACUGGUUAGCUAGAGUCUUGUAGAGGGGGGUAGAAUUCCAUGUGUAGCGGUGAAAUGCGUAGAGAUGUGGAGGAAUACCGGUGGCGAAGGCGGCCCCCUGGGACAAAGACUGACGCUCAUGUGCGAAAGCGUGGGGAGCAAACAGGGAUUAGAUACC